Molecule: ribosomal RNA, 395 nt
Filed under: uncultured bacterium
Lineage: Bacteria
Description: partial 16S ribosomal RNA
Rfam family: Bacterial small subunit ribosomal RNA
Source: RNAcentral
AUACGUAGGGUGCAAGCGUUAAUCGGAAUUACUGGGCGUAAAGCGUGCGCAGGCGGUUUUGUAAGAAAGAGGUGAAAUCCCCGGGCUCAACCUGGGAACUGCCUUUGUGACUGCAAGGCUAGAGUACGGCCGAGGGGGAUGGAAUUCCGCGUGUAGCAGGGAAAUGCGUAGAUAUGCGGAGGAACACCGCUGGCGAAGGCAGUCCCCUGGUCCUGUACUGACUCUCAUGCACGAAAGCGUGGGGAGCAAACAGGAUUAGAUUCCCUGGUAGUCCACGCCCUAAACGAUGUCAACUGGUUGUUGGGUCUUCAGUGACUCAGUAACGAAGCUAACGCGUGAAGUGGACCGCCUGGGGAGUACGGCCGCAAGGUUGAAACUCAAAGGAAUUGACGGGG